AAUGAACGUUGGCGGCGUGGAUUAGGCAUGCAAGUCGAGCGAGAAGUCCGCCUUCGGGCGGAUGGAAAGCGGCGAAAGGGAGAGUAACGCGUAGUUAUCUGCCCCGAGGUCCGGAAUAGUACGCCGAAAGGCGUAGUAAUGCCGGAUGAUAUCUGUAUCCCUCAAAAGAUAUGGAUCAAAGGUGUGAUUCCGCCUUGGGAGGAGACUGCGUACUACUAGCUUGUUGGUGGGGUAAUGGCCUACCAAGGCUUUGAUGGUUAGCGGGCGUGAGAGCGUGGCCCGUCUCACUGGGACUGAGACACUGCCCAGACACCUACGGGUGGCUGCAGUCGAGAAUCUUCGGCAAUGGACGAAAGUCUGACCGAGCGAUGCCGCGUGCGGGAUGAAGGCCCUCGGGUUGUAAACCGCUGUCAGUUGGGAGGAAGGCUCCGUGAAGAGCGGAGUUUGACCUAUCUUCAGAGGAAGUCCGGGCUAAGUUCGUG
RNAcentral lists this ribosomal RNA (482 nucleotides) under uncultured bacterium. Its description in RNAcentral is "bacterial SSU rRNA". It matches the Rfam family "Bacterial small subunit ribosomal RNA", at positions 29 to 507 of the family's 1533-position model. The record is from RNAcentral.